UAAGACAGAGGUGGCAAGCGUUGUUCGGAAUCACUGGGCUUAAAGGGCGCGUAGGCGGCAGCGCAAGUCUGCGGUGGAAUCCCGGGGCUUAACCCCGGAACUGCCUUGGAAACUGCGCAGCUUGAGUCAGUGAGGGGAGGGCGGAAUUCCCGGUGUAGCAGUGAAAUGCGUAGAUAUCGGGAGGAAGGCCGGUGGCGAAGGCGGCCCUCUGGCACUUGACUGACGCUGAGGCGCGAAAGCGUGGGGAGCAAACAGGAUUAGAUACCCUGGUAGUCCACGCCCUAAACGGUGGGUAUUAGGUGUUGGGCCCGCGAGGGUUCAGUGCCGUAGGGAAACCAUUAAAUACCCCGCCUGGGGAGUACGGCCGCAAGGUUGAAACUUAAAUGAAUUGACGG
This 395-nucleotide ribosomal RNA is filed under the name uncultured bacterium. Its description in RNAcentral is "bacterial SSU rRNA". It matches the Rfam family "Bacterial small subunit ribosomal RNA", at positions 521 to 916 of the family's 1533-position model. The record is from RNAcentral.